GUAAUAUCAAAACCAAAGUGAUCAGCCUAUAAACCGAUGAAAAAUAACAAGAAUUUCUAAUUUUAAUCAACUUCCGAGCUACACAAGAUAUGUUAUUGAGGUGAGAGAAAGCUUCGUCCAUUCUCACAAGUAUAAGAAACUUGUCAUCAGCCCAAACAAAAGGGCCAAAACGGAAAAAAAUAAAUAAAACCUUGGCAUUUUCAAUUUAAGUCAUCUUCCUCCGCUUCUUUCCCUCUUUCGCCUCUGUAAGACUUCAACUGCAACACCCAGCGGCUACUGAAAAUUCUGGUGAACUAGCACCCGACGAGGUGGAUGAUGGCUCCGCCACUGCCUACUACCAAGCAAUCAUCCAGAAAAUAUGAAAAAAAUAAAUAAAUAAAUAAAGUGGUUAUGGUCGAUGAGAUCACAUGAAAGUUUGAGAAAAUUAAUCUGUAGGCGCCAGCAGAAUCAAACAAAUAUGUGAUUCCAAUUCCCAAAGGACGUUCACUAAUGAGCUAGGAGGGAUCCUAUAUUUUUACAUUUAUUCCCCUUGACUUGGUAAACUAAUGAAGGGCAAGUUUGACAAAGAUUUUAAAAGCCAAUUGAGAUUAAAAAUUUGAUUUUGAACAUAUUUAAAUAAUUCUUUGAAAGUGUGUUGUCCAAUUAGAAGAGCGUUUAGAGUGAAUUGACCUCAAGAAACUCUUCUACAAACAGCAGAAUCUAAAAUAGAAAUCCUAACAAACGGACCCUAAAUCUUGUCACUCACUGCAUUAUCGUGUUGAGAACUUGAUUUUCAAGCAAUUUCAUGGGACAUUAAUCGAUGGGUCUUGGACUUAAUUGAAAUGCUAUUUAGUUCAUAUGAUGUGAGUUGAAUAAAGUUGUAUCAUUAAAUGGCUUACAAACAUGUUCGGUAGAAUUAGAAUUCUGUGAGAAAAGUUUCUUGGUGUCUUCAUUCUCCUUAUCGAUAUAAAUCCCCCCCUUGAAAAUCUUGUUUUAUAUAGAAUUCCACUCUCUUAAAUUGCGAUUUUGUGGAAGAAACAAUGCUGUUAUAGGCUAGAUAAGGAUGGUGAUAUUGGACGUUCUGAAGCUACGCGGAAUGAGCUUUCGUGAAUAGACAUCAAAGUAUUGAUCGAUGAUAAUUCACACAUGUUGAUAAUUAACAAUUAGACAUGAUGAAAGGGUCCUGUUUGUUCAAUUGAGUCAUUAGAUGAGAAAUGCUAAUGCGUAAUUACACGCUGAAAAGUGAACCUUUAAAGAUGGGCACAAAUCGAAUGAUGCAAACCAUUCGAAACUCUUGCUAUCUAAUGAUCAUAUUGAAUGGUGCUAAACACAGGGCAUCUUAUGUGUGCGUCUGAAGGUCUGUCCAUAUACCUUCCCCAUGCUAGAUUUUGACAUGUAUUCAUCGUCUUAUUACCUCUAAACUAAUUGUAAGGCUUGACGUUCACGCCUUCUGCAUUUUAAAACCUUGAUUUUUAUUCACAUUUUGUGAUAUCAACAAUUACUACCAAUUGAAAGAAUUAGUUCAAUUAAAAAAAAAAAUUUAUUCAUUUGUAAUUAUAUGUGGCACGAACGAAGAUAAAAUGACAAGCACAUAUAAAACGUAAUUGAUGUUAAUAUUUAUUUGUAAUCAUGUCAAAAAUCAAGAAUCACAAAAUAAUAAAUUGAUAAAUCGAAUUCAUACCUGCGGAAGUCAUUGUUGAUAUGAAUAGUAGUUGUAAUAGCAGUCAAGAUCUUCCCCACCUUACUCCUCAUAAAAGUAUUAGCCAUCAAUUGGGCAAGCUAAUGAAAACAUAUAUGGAGAGGAGAGGGGACCUAGCCUAUAUAUAGGAAAUAAUUUGAGCCGUCCCAUUACGACUAGAAUUCUAAUUAGGGUUUAUUUCCGGCCCACAUACUUUAAAUUACCAUAUCUAAUUAAUUACAACUCGUAAGGUGUAAAAGGCUCAAUUGAUCACUUAAUAAAUUUGGCUCAAACACAAUUAUCAUUAUGAGCCAUAUAUCUAACCCGUAAAAUUUUGCAAUCGAAUGUGAAGCCUACAUAUGGAAUUGUUAAUUAUUCCAACAUUCUCCCACUCGGGCAAACAUUUGAUUGCCAUAACAAAGUUUUAACACUUGGGUUAGACUACAUAGGUGGCCACAAAAGUAUAGCUCCAAUGAUGACACCUUACGUAACAUGAUCCGGUCCAACAAGAAUAUUAACACCGAACAUGGAA
RNAcentral lists this long non-coding RNA (2189 nucleotides) under Olea europaea subsp. europaea. The record is from RNAcentral. Lineage: Eukaryota; Viridiplantae; Streptophyta; Magnoliopsida; Lamiales; Oleaceae.